UUAUCUCUGUAGAGUCUGCAUAUCAAUAAGCGGAGGAAAAGAAACUAACUAGGAUUCCCUCAGUAACGGCGAGUGAAGCGGGAAGAGCUCAAAUUUGAAAUCUUAAAGGGUUCUACCUUGACGAAUUGUAGUUUAAAGAAGUGUUUUCUGUUGGAGGUUUUGGUAAAAGUUCUUUGGAAUAGGACAUCAUAGAGGGUGAGAAUCCCGUAUUUGACCAUUACUUUCAGCGUUGUGAUACACUUUCAAAGAGUCGGAUUGUUUGGGAAUGCAGUCCAAAAUGGGUGGUAAAUUUCAUCUAAAGCUAAAUAUUGGCGAGAGACCGAUAGCGAACAAGUACCGUGAGGGAAAGAUGAAAAGAACUUUGAAAAGAGAGUUAAACAGUACGUGAAAUUGUCAAAAGGGAAGCGUUUGACACCAGUGUUGUUUUCUCGAAAAUCAAUUAAAAAAAGUUGGAUUUUGUAUUGUUAAGACCUUAUCAGCUUACUGUACUCUUUUCUUGCUUUUUUUAAUGCACUUUUCGUUUAACAAGUCAACAUCAAUUUCUUUUGUUGUAAAAGAGUCAUUAGGAAGGUGGCUUUCACUUCGGUGAAAGUGUUUAUAGCCUUUGGCUUCUGCAAUCGGAGAGAUUGAGGUCUGCAGCGUAGAUCCUUCGGGGCUAGAUACGUAGAUGCUAAGUUAUAGCUUUUUAUAGACAACUUGUUGACUAUGAUUAAGUCAUGUAGCUUACUCGUUAUGCCUAUUUUACCUACGCUUAGGAUGUUGACGAUCAGCUGAGCGCG
This 779-nucleotide ribosomal RNA is filed under the name uncultured Neocallimastigales. Its description in RNAcentral is "partial large subunit ribosomal RNA". It matches the Rfam family "Eukaryotic large subunit ribosomal RNA", at positions 24 to 633 of the family's 3401-position model. Lineage: Eukaryota; Fungi; Neocallimastigomycota; Neocallimastigomycetes; Neocallimastigales. The record is from RNAcentral.